UACAGGUGAAGGGGGGAAGGCAACAAAUCACACUGCCAUGUGUGUACCUAUGCAACUAUCUUGCAUGUUCUUCACAUGUACCCCAAAACCUAAAAUGCAAUAAAAAAUAUAAAAAUUAAAAAAAAAGAAGCAGUCACACUCACCAAAUGUUCCAUUUGCUCCCAUAUAUUUCUCAAUUCUCUUAAAGUUACAGGAAGCCAAUGGCUGUUUCUCACAAAUGAGAUAUGAGCAGAGUGAUAACCUGUCACUUCCAAAACAAGGCAGUUAAAGGCUUAUUCUCAGCUCUCCGAUCUCUCUCUUCCAAUGAUGAGGCAAGUGUAGAAGGCUAACAUUCACAAUGGUUCAACUUAAAGAGAAGCAACCCUCCAUCUGCUGGCUUCUGAGUGAUGAUAUGAUCCAGAACACUCUGCCCACCAACAUGACAUAAACUGAGUAAGAAGGAAAUCUUAUUAUAUUAAAUCACUGAGUUAACAGGGUUACUUGUUACUUCUCGAUAACCUAACUUAUCCUUACUAAUGUACCUUAUUUUAAAGAUGCAAAAACAGUUACAGAUAGUGGAAGUGAGCAGUUCAAGGUUACUGAGAUUUGAACUAAAACUCAGGUCUCCUGACAUUCUAAAGCAAAGUUCUCAUUAUGCCAAUCUGUUUGGUCUGGAAAGGCAGGACAACUUAGAAAAGACAGGAAUACUUGAAGCCAAGCUGGGAAGGAGCUUCCAUGUCACAGACAGAUGAUAUACAGUUACAUUACUUUAAGUUUCUGAUUAGCCUUUCCAAAGAAGGCAAAUCAGAUCUGCAUCUAUCUCAAUGAGCAAAGAAAGGGGUGACUUUUAAUAGAAUGGGAGGCAGGUUUGCCCUACACAAUUUCCAGCUCGAGUUUUCCUUAGUGAUUUGGGGAAUAUUUUCUUUUCACACAUCCAUUGUAUGGUUGGUUGUUUAUCAUAUUUAUAUCAUGUAUUUCCUUUCUCAAAAUUUCUGGGACAUAUUUAUGUCUACUGAUUUAUUUGCUUACUCAACAUAGUACAAUCAUACUAAAUUGGUUGCAGGCACUUUAUAGUAUAUUCUCUUGUUCUUCAGGUUAUUUGCAAGCAUUAAGACCAUCUUAUAAAUGAAAUAUUUAUGUGGUAUUCUAAACAGAAUUGCAUUAAAUCUAUGUUAAUUUGGGGACAAUUGACCUAUUUAUAAGAAGUCUUUCCAUCUAAGAAUAUUAUUUUCUUUUCCAUUUAAUAAGAUCAUGAGUUUCAAAACAAAUUCUCACAUAAAUCGUGUGUCUCUUUUUCCUGAACUCAUUACUAAGUAGUUUUCAGUAUAUAUUUGCUAUAGUUAAUUAUUUCCACGAUAAGUUUUGCUAUAUUUUAAGUAUUUCUAGAGUAGAAAAACAGGUAUUAAUUACAUUUCUUGUCUCCAUUAUUUCUUAUCUCCAUAUAUUAUCUAGUCUACUGAUGAAUUAUAUAAGUCUUUCCAAAUAUAUACAUACUUUAUUUUUCUGCUUUAGCCAUUUUACAGAAAUAUAAUUCAUCAGCAAAGACAGUGUUUCAUUUUAGUUUUUCCAGUGUUUACACUAGACUUAUUGAAUGUUUAAGAAUUUUUAAGGCAUAAAUGAUAUUUAUAAUAGAUAUACCAGUUCAGCUAACAAUUCAAAUAGUUUCAUUUUUUAACAAGGCUGUUGACUUCAUGUCAUAUUCCUUAUAAAAUUUACCUUUUCAGAAUUUCAAAUAUUUAAGAAAUAUAAAAAGUGAUUAAUUUUAUUAAAACACCUCAGAUCCACUAUGAAAUGUAUUCUGUGACUACUGUAACAUAUUUGACUAUAUAUGAAAUUAAUUUUUAAAGUUUCUAUCCUCUAUAUCUUAUUAGUGCUCUUUUGGAUAUCUUCUUUAUACUGGAAAUUGUAGAUACAGCUGUUGAAUUUUGUCAAAUACAUUUUACUCUUUAUUAAGAUGAAUUAUUUGGUGUGUUAAUACAAUAUAUUAAGUGAUAUAUUUUUGGAUAUUAAACUUCUUUUCCUUAGAAAAAAUCCUGCUUUACAAUAGUGUCUUAUUUUUUGAUACAUUCCUAAACCAUCUGCUAAUAUUUUGACAAGAAUUUUGCUCCACAUUUGAAGGUAAAAAUAGUCUAACAUUUCAUAACUAUCAUUAUAGUUAUUACAGCAAUACUGCCUUCACAAGAAAAUGGAUUGCAAAACAAUCCAUCACUUUAUAUGUUAUCGGAUUAGUUCAAAUGCCAUUAGAAUUACUAUUCUUCAAAUCAAAAUGAAACCAAAGCUAAAACUCAGUGUUGAAUCUAUCAAGUCCUAAUUAUUAAUCAGUGGUUUAUAUCACCCUUCCUAUUUAUUUGUUGUAAUUUAUAUUUCCUACUUCUUGUGUACAUUUUGAUGACUUGUAUUUAUUUUCCUGAAAAAUAUUCUGCUUUCUUCUGAUUUCAGUUUUGUCGACACAGAAUUGUCAUAGUGUUCAAAGUCUUUGUAAUUCUCCCCCUGAUUCUUGGGCACCACUUGAUGUCACUUGGUUGGCUCACUGGAAGAAUGGUCUGUUUGUUGUGGGAAUACAUAAAGUCCUGUAGGUGGCAGAAGCAAAGUGGUCAAUAUCCCUGAUGUCACAGUUGGCAGAAUGUUAGUUUCAUGUUGAGACAAACAGAAAGUUUCUGUGUAUUCUGAUCCCUAGAACUCAUCAAGCUCCACUCAUCCAUUCAAGUUCUGGGAUGCUUUGGGAUUAUGGGGCUCUUAACUACUUACAUAAUGUC
RNAcentral lists this long non-coding RNA (2735 nucleotides) under Callithrix jacchus (white-tufted-ear marmoset). Its description in RNAcentral is "lncRNA (ENSCJAG00000085606.1)". Lineage: Eukaryota; Metazoa; Chordata; Mammalia; Primates; Cebidae. The record is from RNAcentral.